UUGAAAGGGAAACGAUUGAAGUCAGUCAUACCAACGGGAAAUCAACCUCUUGAGCUCGGUCUCGUGGGUUUUGAAGAGUUUCAAAGCCUUCGGAUUCGCGGGAUUGGGAUCUCCUGGCGUACUUUUUCGUACGGUUAGUCAACAUCGGUUUUGUAUGUCAUAAAAUGACUGGAGGAAUGUAGCUUCGAUCUUGUAUUGAAGUGUUAUAGCCUUUGGUAAAUGUGAUGAUUAGGAUCGAGGAUUGCAACGAAUACCCUUUUGGGCUAUCCGCCUGAUCUCUGAUACGUGGCCUUGGUAUCGAAAGCGUGCUUAUGGUAUUGAGGUAUUACGGUCAAAAGGUUAGAACGGAUNACAUUCGUUAAGGAUGUUGACGUA
This 375-nucleotide ribosomal RNA is filed under the name uncultured Glomeromycotina. Its description in RNAcentral is "LSU rRNA". The record is from RNAcentral. Lineage: Eukaryota; Fungi; Glomeromycota.